This 1377-nucleotide ribosomal RNA is filed under the name Lactobacillus sp. Its description in RNAcentral is "bacterial SSU rRNA". It matches the Rfam family "Bacterial small subunit ribosomal RNA", at positions 71 to 1422 of the family's 1533-position model. Lineage: Bacteria; Bacillati; Bacillota; Bacilli; Lactobacillales; Lactobacillaceae. The record is from RNAcentral.
GAUUGGUGCUUGCAUCAUGAUUUACAUUUGAGUGAGUGGCGAACUGGUGAGUAACACGUGGGAAACCUGCCCAGAAGCGGGGGAUAACACCUGGAAACAGAUGCUAAUACCGCAUAACAACUUGGACCGCAUGGUCCGAGUUUGAAAGAUGGCUUCGGCUAUCACUUUUGGAUGGUCCCGCGGCGUAUUAGCUAGAUGGUGGGGUAACGGCUCACCAUGGCAAUGAUACGUAGCCGACCUGAGAGGGUAAUCGGCCACAUUGGGACUGAGACACGGCCCAAACUCCUACGGGAGGCAGCAGUAGGGAAUCUUCCACAAUGGACGAAAGUCUGAUGGAGCAACGCCGCGUGAGUGAAGAAGGGUUUCGGCUCGUAAAACUCUGUUGUUAAAGAAGAACAUAUCUGAGAGUAACUGUUCAGGUAUUGACGGUAUUUAACCAGAAAGCCACGGCUAACUACGUGCCAGCAGCCGCGGUAAUACGUAGGUGGCAAGCGUUGUCCGGAUUUAUUGGGCGUAAAGCGAGCGCAGGCGGUUUUUUAAGUCUGAUGUGAAAGCCUUCGGCUCAACCGAAGAAGUGCAUCGGAAACUGGGAAACUUGAGUGCAGAAGAGGACAGUGGAACUCCAUGUGUAGCGGUGAAAUGCGUAGAUAUAUGGAAGAACACCAGUGGCGAAGGCGGCUGUCUGGUCUGUAACUGACGCUGAGGCUCGAAAGUAUGGGUAGCAAACAGGAUUAGAUACCCUGGUAGUCCAUACCGUAAACGAUGAAUGCUAAGUGUUGGAGGGUUUCCGCCCUUCAGUGCUGCAGCUAACGCAUUAAGCAUUCCGCCUGGGGAGUACGGCCGCAAGGCUGAAACUCAAAGGAAUUGACGGGGGCCCGCACAAGCGGUGGAGCAUGUGGUUUAAUUCGAAGCUACGCGAAGAACCUUACCAGGUCUUGACAUACUAUGCAAAUCUAAGAAAUUAGACGUUCCCUUCGGGGACAUGGAUACAGGUGGUGCAUGGUUGUCGUCAGCUCGUGUCGUGAGAUGUUGGGUUAAGUCCCGCAACGAGCGCAACCCUUAUUAUCAGUUGCCAGCAUUAAGUUGGGCACUCUGGUGAGACUGCCGGUGACAAACCGGAGGAAGGUGGGGAUGACGUCAAAUCAUCAUGCCCCUUAUGACCUGGGCUACACACGUGCUACAAUGGAUGGUACAACGAGUUGCGAACUCGCGAGAGUAAGCUAAUCUCUUAAAGCCAUUCUCAGUUCGGAUUGUAGGCUGCAACUCGCCUACAUGAAGUCGGAAUCGCUAGUAAUCGCGGAUCAGCAUGCCGCGGGUGAAUACGUUCCCGGGCCUUGUACACACCGCCCGUCACACCAUUGAGAGUUUGUAACACCC